GACACAAAUGAUGAAUCACAAAGGGACUUAAUACCGAUCAUCUUGAUGUGAAAAAAAUUUUUAAUCUAGUGC
This is a small nucleolar RNA of Echinops telfairi (small Madagascar hedgehog), 72 nucleotides long. RefSeq annotates it as small nucleolar RNA SNORD82. The transcript has a single exon. Lineage: Eukaryota; Metazoa; Chordata; Mammalia; Afrosoricida; Tenrecidae. The record is from RefSeq and is a predicted model, not a curated record.